UUUAAGACUAUUUCGCUUAGGAACCAGUCUUUUACGGGUAGACUCACACCUUAGAGUAUCAAGGGCACUCUUAAGAACCUCUAACUUUUGCGGGUAAGUUAGUACCUUAGAGUAUCAAGGAACUCUUAAAAACCUCUCUAAGCUUUAAGACUACUUCACUUAGGAACCAGUCUUUUACGGGUAGACUCACACCUUAGAGUAUCGAGGGCACUCUUAAGAACCUUUAACAUUUACGGGUAAGUUAGUACCUUAAAGUAUCAAGGAACUCUUAAAAACCUAGAAAUCUUUCAAGGUAGAUUCGACUUAAGAGUUUUCCCGGAAACUCUAUAAAACCAAACUAGAGUUUUAUGGUUGAACUCAAAAACCUUCUCUCACACUUUGUUACUAUUGAGACAACUCUCUCAACCAAAGUGGACACACACAAGAGGUGAUUAGAGGAGUGGAAUAUUUAAGCAAACACUACAAAAAACCAGCGCAGUUCUGGCGGCCAGGCCGCCGGUAUAAUGGUUCCUGGCGGCCAAGCCGACGAAAUUCCAUCGCCGAAAUUUUGGAUUCCGAUUUUAACAGAAAUUGUCCCUGCGGCUUAGUCGCUGAAUUUUUUUUUUGAAAAUUAUAUCCCGGCGGCCAGGCCGCCGGCUGUUAAUUUCGGAAAAUAAUUUUCCGGCGGCCUGGCCGCUGGUCAAUAUUUCCCGGCAGGAAAAAAAAUUCCCCGGGAAGAAAUUUCUGGCGGCCUAGCCGCUGGUCACUUUUGAAAAAUAAAAAAAAAAUUGAAAUUAAUAUGAAAUUGAAAAUAAAAUUAAAAAUGAAAUUGAUAUUGAAAUUGAUAUUGAAAUUGAAAUUGAAUUUGAAGUUUAAUAAUUAAUGUAGAACAAAAAUUAACUUCGACAAUCACUAAUUUAACUCAGGUAAGCGCAAGUUCGGAUUUUGAGCGAGCAUUGCGGAGUUGUAUUGUUGGAAAAACGCCAUUUGACGAGCCAUAAACUCUUCAUUCUGACGAGCCAUAAACUUUUCAAAUCACAAAUUUGUAAAUCCGCAAAACAAACCUUCAACCUAAAAUAAACAAACACUAAAUUAAAAUGAAUUAAACCUAAAUAACAUAAAUCAUGUACACUUAAUUAUUCAAUAACACUUCAAUAACAUAAAUCAUGUACACUAAAUAACAUAAAUCAUUCAUUAUUCAAUAACACUCAAUAGUAACAAAUAACAAUAACACAUACAUAAAUAACAAUACACUUAAAAUAAAAUUCAGUAAGAUUGACUGGAAAUCUAUUUUAUUUUAAAUCAUACACACAUGACACAUGAUAAUUAAAUAAAAAUCAUUAAGCUGGACUGACUAAAUGUUAUUUUAAACAAGUUGGUUGGGGAUUUAGAUAACACAAUGAAUGUUUUAUUAUUUAUCAUUAUUGAUUUAUUUUAUUUAUUAUGUUUGUGUGUCAGCAGGACAUGUUUUAUUCCAGCAAACAUGUUUUAUUAUGUCUGUGUAUAUAUUCCAGCAAACAUGUAUAUAUUCCAGCAAAUGUUUUAAUAUCAACAUUGAUCAACACAGCCUAUCAAUGACAUAAAUAAGGAUGCAAACAAAAAUAACAAAACUUUAGGCUUGCUAAAAACAGAUAAGAUAAAUAUAGAAAGCAACAGGAUCAUCAUGGUAUUUUAUUUGAGAGAAAUCUGAUUUAAACUUUAGGAUCACUAAAACACAGAUAAGAUAAACAUAGAAAGCAACAAGAUCAUCAUGGUAUUUUAUUUAAGAGAAAUCUGAUUUAAACCUUAGGAUUGCUACAACACAUAUAAGAUACACAUAGAAAGCAAAAGAGCAUCAUGAUAUUUUAUUUGAGAGAAAUCUGAUUUAAACUAACUACUCUUAAGUCUUAACAGUAGCUAAAUAUACCAUUGGUUAUCUCCUUGCCUCUCUACACCGACAGAUCUACCAUCUACAAUCAUAGAUCCAAAACCACCCCAAUAAAACCAUAACAAUUAUCAAAUUAACUAUUUAUUUUUCUGACCAGAACACUAAGAGAUCCACCGCUUAUGGUAUUCUCCUUCUAUGUGAAAAUGAUUUCACAACUAAAAUCUAAAAGAAGAAAAAGAAACACAUCGAUCAGAAAUCAAUUAAUAUAUCCUACCGAUAUACCAUUUACAAUCAUCGAUCCGAUAUCACUUCAAUAAAGCAACAACAAUUAUCAUAACAAUUGAUUCUAUUUAUAACUUUCACAAAUCAUAACUUUCACAAAUAACAACAAUAACAAAAUUACAAAGAACAAACAAAGAAACCCCAAACCCCAAAUCCCAAAAUUACAAAGAACGAAGAAAAAGAAAGAUUACAAACAAAGAACAAUAAUAACUUUCACAAAUAAUAAAUCCCAAAAUCAAAAAACCCCAAAUCAUAAACCCCAAAUCAUAAACAACAACAAAAAAUGAGAGAAAAAGAUGAAGAAGAUAACACAAUAACAAAAGAAGAUAACUAAUGGAGGAUGAAGAACAUACCUUUAGGAAGAACUUCGAAGAUCACCGGAGAUAAAUGGCUGGAAGAUCACCGGAGACAAGUUGGGGGAGGGUUUGGUAGGAGUGGGAGUAGUGGAGACGUUUUUGGGGGAAAAGAAAAUGAAAGAAAUCUGGAAUUUUUUUUCUUAUAUAAAAAUUUUCCGGCGGCCUGGCCGUCGGGAAAUACUUAAGUUUCGUUUGACUUAGUUUGACUGUACGGGGGACCACGGCGGCGCAAGUUGUAAAUUUAGAGUUUUCCAAAAAUCCUGGCGGCCAGGCCGCUGGCUACUGAAAAAAACAAGCGGGAAAAAGUAUCCAGCGGCCAAGCCGCCAGCAAUUUUUCUCCCGACCGUUGAGGGUUUUAGUAUGCCGGCGGCCAGGCCGCCGGAAAAUUUCUUCCCGACCGUUGGUGAAUUGGAGCUGGCGGCCAGGCCGCUGACAUUUUUUACAAAAAAAUAUUCCGUCGGCCUGGCCGUCAGCAAAUUUCUCUCAUUUACGAGGGAAAAUUAUGCAGGCGGACAAGUGUAACCUUCCGUCGGCCUGGCCGCCGGGAGAUGGGCGCCAGAACUGCGCUGAUUUUUUGUAGUGAAACAACACUUCUAACUUGUAGAGAUGAACAAGAAGAUUAGAAGAAGAAGUUGGUGAGCUUUUGAAGCUUUGGAAAGCUAGGACACUUGAACACUUGAAAGCUUGGAAGCUUGGAGGCAAAAACGUGUGGGCAAGUGUGGAGUGAAAGCUCUUGAGUUUGCUUGUAGUGUGGUGAGUGAAAAUGAGGGGUUUACCCUUCUAUUUAUAGCCUUGGCCACUCAAUGUCCACCCUUGGAUCUUCAAUGGAUGGCUCCUUGAUUUUUCACAUAAAUCCAAGUUUUGUCUUUGAUCUUAUCUUGAAUAAUGUUUUUCUUGGAUAGAGUUUGUUGGAGAAUCUUAUCUUUGUAUAAAUUCAAACUUGAAUAGUGUUUUGUCCCCUUGGAAUAUUAUACCUUGAAUAAAGUGUCAAAAGAUAAUAAUAAUAAUAAUAUUCAAGGUAAAAAUGCAAUUAUUCCAAAUAAUAAUAUUCAAGGUAAAAAUACAAUUCUCCGAAUUUGACUUUUAACUUUGACUUAAACCUUUAACUCAAAUGAUUAAUUAAUUAAUUGGAGUUAGGUUUAAUAUCGAUUGACUUAUUUAACCCCUAUUGAUUAAUAGUGUAAUUAGGGUUUAAAUUGACAUGAUUAAAAUAUAAUUCUAUGUCGACAAUUUUGAUUCUACAUUUGGAAGAUAAGGUGUUAGAAAUGACCAUUGGUGAUGUAGGGCAUAUCUUGGGUCUUCCAUUUUCAGGAGCUAUGAUAUGUAUUGAUAAGGAAUCCGAAAUUACUUACUGGACACCAUUUUGGGAAAAAUAUUUCAACGACUCGCAAGUAACAAAGUAAGAAAGAUAUUUCAGUAGUUGAUCUUUUGAUAUUUAUUUUAACCUCAUCCAUUUUGCAGUUCAAUGAUAAAGGAAGUCUUCAAGAAAACAGUACGCGAGGGAACUGACGAUCCAGACUAUAUAGAAGACUGUUUCCGCUUGUGGUUCUGUAUGUUGUUCUCGAGUUUUCUGUUACCAACCACAAGAACAGUGUUCCCGUUGAAAUUAUUCCAUUACCUAGAGAGAAUGGAAUAUAUUUCAAAAUUUAACUGGUCAAGUCUCAUAUUCAAUCAGAUAUUCACAAAGAUGGAUAAGGCUUCGCAAUCAGUUCAACGUCGAGAGAGAAUUAGUGGUCGAGUAACAGAAUACGUCCACGGAUGCGCCUUAGUUCUUAAUGUAAGUAUAAACGAUUUUUUAGUAUGAAUAUAAUAUUUAUUGGUUUUAUUAAACUAUUGCAUGAUAGGUAUUCAUUCCUAUGGGAGCAUACGACUCUAUUCAGACCUUCGCCAAGGAAUUCAAUCAUAUUUCAAAGAUAUGAGGGAUGUUCGAAGAGGAGGGCCCGCACAAUAGAAUCUCUAUGUAACGAAGAGGUAUUGUUCAUUGUCUAAGUCAUAUGAAAUAUAAAUAGAAUUUCAUAUUAUGCAUUCUUAAUGUAGGUAACAAUGAAAGCUAUGUUCUACAACGUGGAAAAUGCUUCAACAAAGGUUAAAGGUCGAUAGAAAUUUGUAAUCUUGUUAUGUAAUGAUUCAAGUAGAAUUUGUAAUUUAUUUCGUACAAAAUUCUGUUCUAGUACUAACUAUGUAAUGUUGUCAAUGUAAAUGUUGUUAUGUGAUAAUAAUUUGUACUUUUAUUUUACGUACUUAUAUCCUCGAGAGCUAAUAUUGGUCGUCGAGGGGUAUUUUAAGAACUCGAAUGCUAAUAUUGGUCCUCGAGAAGUAAUAUUGGUCCUCGAGAAGUAAUAUUGGUCCUCGAGAGCUAAUAUUUGUCCUCGAGGGCUAUUCUCAGUCCUCGAGGGCUACUUUCAAUCAUUCAAUUACUUCUCGAUAGCUCGAAUUAGUCCUUCAAUUACAUUUUGUUAAUGAUUUCAUUCGUGUAUGUGUACGCGAGGUAAAUACUUGUAAUAUUUUCAUAUUUUUGAAUAACAGGAGGAUAAGCAACUAUAUCAACCUACCUUAUCUGAUUUCAAAAGAAAAAGACCCUACUGGAAUUGCGUCGUGAAGGUAGAAUUUUUUGAACAGACCAGAUGUAAAAUAAUAUUAUGAUUUUAUGAAUAUCAAUUUUUCCUAAACAGCCAGAUGAUCCAGAAGAUGAUGGAUUCGAAUGAUAUAACGAAGGUUAGUAUUCUAGUAUUAAUUUAGUAUAAUAAUUUUAAGAAGAUACUUAUUACAAUAUUAAAGUAGAUGAUUGGAACGAGGCCGAGAUGUACGGGAACAUCAAAAUGAAGGGAAAACAAAGAUAGAUCCAUCGUGCGAAAUUAUAAACAUAUCAUCAUCUACUGAAUGUAUAGAUUAUGGCUCUCUAUCAUUAGUAGAAUAUGGUAGCGCCGGCGCGUCCUGCUCUAGAUCUAGAAGAAUCGGGACCCCUCGGACUAUAGAAAAAACUUAGAGGAUUUAAUGAAUUUAGCUUGUGAUAAGUUAAGUGAACUCGAUAUGGACGAGGUUAAGAGUAUUACAUCUGAUUUGGAAGUGAUGUCCAUUGGUAAUAGCGACAUCCCUUUAUCAAUAUUACCAUCAAAUUUCAAUUUAAUAUGUAGUCCUUGCAGCCAGGACAUUAGUACUCCGAUACCCAUGACACGAAAAGAAAUUUGUGGCCCAUCAAAAUACGUGUAUUCGGAAACAAAUUUGAUCAUUAACAUUAGGGACGACGACGAACUAUAUGAUCAAUACUUGAAUGAUAGUCGUUACACAAAGAUGAGUGUCUCAAUGCUCGACGGCAUAUGCUACAACGAAAUGCAAUUGAAGAAAGAGUAUCACAAAAAAACAAUGAGUGAGGCAUUUCCUGAAUUGGCCGAGAUUGUAAGAAGAAUGAGGGUUAAACAACCAAGUGCCCAGAUAAUAUCCUCAGAGCACUAGGCAUCAGCUGCGGCCACUGUAGAUCGAAUUGAAGAGAGCAUGGUCAUAAGGAAAAAAUAUGCAUCUGAAGAUCUAUAAAAUGUUGCACGUCGUAUUUGUUGGAUCGUGAUCCGAGGCUAUAAGGGGGGGUGAUAGCCUCUUUUCGAUUUAGACAGGUUGAUAGCGGAAUUACCUGUAAAUACUUAGCAAACAAAUGGUUGAACAGUAAUGAUAUAAGAAUAUUAUUAUUUUAUAGUAUUGCAAGUAUUACUCUUUGAAGCUUACUACAGUAUAUGAAUAAUGAGUCAACUUGCUUGAUUAUGUUUCAAGUACAACUAUAGUAUAUGAAUACUAAGUUAUAUUGAAAACACAAAUUGUAUUGUAGAGUAAAUGACCAGAUAACUGGAUAUAUAGAUAAGCAAGUAAAUGACCAGAUAACUGGAUAUAUUGAUAAACAAGUAAAUGACCAGAUAACUGGAUAAUCUGAUAAACAAGUAAAUGACCAGAUAACUGGAUAAAUAUGAUAAGAAAUAUAAGACCAGAUAACUGGAUAAUUUGAUAAACAAGUAAGUGACCAGAUAACUGGAUAAAUAUGAUAAGAAAUAUAAGAAUUUAAAGCAAUAAAUAUAACCUCAGAUAGUUGACCAGAUAACUGGAUGAGGGAUCUGCGUAAAGUAGUCAACCUCUGUACUUGACCAGAUAACUGGAAGAGGGAUCUUUUUAAUUAUGUGUUGUUUUUAAGUGAAAGAUAAAACUAAAAUUAACAGAGAACAACACAAGAGAUUUAUACUGGUUCACCCAAACACGGGCUAGUCCAGUCCCGACCCACUGCCGGAUUUCACUCGCCUAAAGGUAAUGGCAAAACCUUUUCUAAGCUUUAAGGCUACUACGCUUAGGAACCAGUCUUUUACGGGUAGACUCACACCUUAGAGUAUUACAGGGCACUCUUAAGAACCUCUAACUUUUACGGGUAAGUUAGUACCUUAGAGUAUUCAAGGAACUCUUAAAAACCUUUCUAAGCUUUAAGGCUACUACGCUUAGGAACCAGUCUUUUACAGGUAGACUCACACCUUAGAGUAUUACAGGGCACUCUUAAGAACCUUUCUAAGCUUUAAGGCUACUUCGCUUAGGAACCAGUCUUUUACAGGUAGACUCACACCUAAGAGUUUUCCCGGAAACUCUAUAAAACCAAACAGAGCUUUAUGGUUGAGCUCACAAACCUUUCCUCACACUUUGGUACUAUUGAGACAACCCUCUCAACCAAAGUGGACACACACAAGAGGUGAUUAGAGGAGUGGAAUAUCAAAGCAAACAACACUUCUUACU
This 7242-nucleotide long non-coding RNA is filed under the name Zostera marina. Its description in RNAcentral is "long non-coding RNA (ZMAR_LNC000114)". The record is from RNAcentral. Lineage: Eukaryota; Viridiplantae; Streptophyta; Magnoliopsida; Alismatales; Zosteraceae.